Non-coding RNA from Streptomyces sp. MBRL 601, 127 nucleotides. Lineage: Bacteria; Bacillati; Actinomycetota; Actinomycetes; Kitasatosporales; Streptomycetaceae. The record is from Rfam.
AGAUGAGAGAAACACCCCGCCCGCAGGGCUCUGCGGGCGAUUUCGGGACGGGGCGCGUUCAGCACCGUUCCGGCCGUGCCAUCGCGCACACCGGGGUCUCGCGCUCCGGAACUCCUCAUGGAUCGGA